GACGAACGCUGGCGGCGCGCUUAACACAUGCAAGUCGAACGGAAAGGCCUGCUUUCCCUUGUGGAUUGCGGGUACUCGAGUGGCGAACGGGUGAGUAACACGUGAGUGAUCUGCCCCCAACUUGGGUAUAAGCCUGGGAAACUGGGUCUAAUUCCCGAUAGGACUGCAGGGUGGUGCCUGUGGUGGAAAACGAUUUUCUAGUGGUUGGGGAUGAGCUGGCGGCCUAUCAGCUUGUUGGUGGGGUAAUGGCCUGCCAAGGCGGCGACGGGUAGCCGGCCUGAGAGGGUGGACGGCGACAUUGGGACUGAGAUACGGCCCAGACUCCUACGGGAGGCAGCAGUGGGGAAUAUUGCACAAUGGGCGGAAGCCUGAUGCAGCGACGCCGCGUGGGGGAUGACGGCCUUCGGGUUGUAAACUCCUUUCGACCGCGAGGAAGCCACCUGGUUGGAAGGGUGGUGACGGUAGUGGUAGAAGAAGCACCGGCUAACUACGUG
RNAcentral lists this ribosomal RNA (494 nucleotides) under uncultured bacterium. RNAcentral's name for it is "partial 16S ribosomal RNA". It matches the Rfam family "Bacterial small subunit ribosomal RNA", at positions 28 to 507 of the family's 1533-position model. The record is from RNAcentral.